Diceros bicornis minor is the source of this 2167-nucleotide long non-coding RNA. RefSeq lists it as uncharacterized. The transcript has 7 exons. NCBI's taxonomy places the organism in Eukaryota, Metazoa, Chordata, Mammalia, Perissodactyla, Rhinocerotidae. The record is from RefSeq and is a predicted model, not a curated record.
CGGAGGGCCGAGUUUACCUAGCCCGCUGGUUCUGGUGACCGAGGCCUGCACGGGUCCUUUCCCGAGCGGGAAGGAGGGUCUGGAAAGGCCAGGCCUAGGGUUGGGGACUGGGGUGCAGUGCGGCUGGUGGAGGAGUGCGGCGGCUGAGGCUGGCGGCUUCGGGAGUUUUCUUUUUGGGAGGAGGGGGCGCGGCUCGUGGCGCGUUCGGUGCGGGGAAGUGGGUUGAGACUCUGACAGCCUGAAUCGCUGAGGUGCUGGGCGCGACGCGGGCCUGCCUUUUCCGGCUGGGGCGAGUGACCUGGAACUCUAAUUUCUUUUUUGAAGGAGGUCUACCUUCUCGUAUCCAUGCCUGCACAGAGAGGGCUGUGUAGAGAAAGAGAGGACUUCUGGGCUCCUGACAGCCCACUUUCAGAAUUUCAAGGCAAACACUGGGCUGACUCUGGGGCCAUGAUGUUCCCUGAUCCUUCUGCGUGGGGAGAGCAGGCCUGGGAGGAGAUUUCGCCUUUGGGAAACAGGAAAGAUAUGGAAACCAUGAAGGAAUUGACUCAACAUCCUAAGGCCAAAGGUUUGCCUUCUAACAAUACUGACUCCAAGAAAAGAAGGGAAAGCCCCAAAUACUGUUUAACCGGCUACCGCUGUACUCAAGAUUGGGCAGGUGAAGCUGCAAAGUGCCCUCACCUCAUGCCAUUGCUUAUGGGCAAACAUUGUUCGUCGUAAGCAGUUUUCUGGGAAAGAAGCACUGUACCAGUUACAUUCAGGGAUGUGGCUGUAGUCUUCAUGGAGGCAAAUGGAAGAGACUGAGCAGAAGAACCUAUACAAAGAAGUGAUGCUGGAGAAUUACAGGAGUGUAAUCUCAUUGGAUGGGCACCCUGAAGUUCAGAUUUAUUUCAUAUGCAGUCUCUUCAACCACUGUUUUGUAUACUGUCUUCUACGUUUGGAAGCCCUCCAGACUGAGUGAGUUUUUACAUGUUUCAGUUCCUUUUUUGUAAUAAGAAAAGUCAUAAAAGAGAUUUCCACAUAGGUCACAGAGACUAUUACCUCCGAGUAGAACGGAGUUGUGGACAGUAUAUGUCAAUCUGGGUGUCGGUGGCUUAGAUGAUGUAGUAGAAAGAAAGGCUAAGGGUAAUUGAAGUUGCUUACAGAGCAGACUGCUUACUUACUUGAAAGGUUCCUAGUCUGACAUGUAGAAGAUGUUUUUGGUGUGGAUUUUCUGGAUCGCAAUAGAAAAUGGAAUGUGUAGAAAUGGAAUGUAAAGGCAUUAUUGGUGGGAAACAAAUCAGGUUGUACACAUGUGGUCAUUUACAGGUGUGACAGGAAGACACUCUCUCCUAAGACAAGGUGGAACAGCCCGGCAGCCACACUUAGUGCUUCUUUAACUGGAAACUCUCCCUCCAGCAGAACCAAAGCCAGGAAUCCACCCAUGUUCCUCCUGCCUUCUGGCCUUCUCCUGUCAGCAGUUCCUCAGCCAGCGUGUGCUUCAGAUCUUCCCCAGUUUAUGUGUGGAAAAUCACUUCCUUCCAGGGGAUUCUGGCCUGGAGCCUCAGGAGCAGCAGUGUUCUGCUCAGUGAAAACACGGAAGGGCAAGAGAGAGAAGGCAGUUCCAAACUCUUGUGUACGGGGACAGAGGAGAGAGACCUCAGGCUCAUUCUCUGGCCCCCGCUGUGGACAGUCAGCAAGUCCUAGAGAAGGCACCAGGGUGGUAGAAAUAGACCCCAAGUCAGCCCAAAGGGUAAAUCCUGUGCAACCAGGCAAAGGAUUGAUGGAAUUAGAAACCUCGAGAUCUGGAGCAGUCAACUGUAGAGAGCGUGAAUUAGACUGUGGCCCGAGAUCAAACUUCAUUACAGACCAGACCACCCUCUUUGGGGAGAAACCCUAUGUUUGCAGAGAGUGUGGGCGAGGCUUUGAAGAUAAGUCGGCUUCCAUCAGAUGCCAUCGGACACACUCAACUGAAGAGCCUCAUGUGUGCAGUGAGUGUGGCUGAAGCUUCAGCCUGAUGUAACUCCUUAUUAAUCACCAAAGGACACAUUCAGGGGAGAAGCUAUAUGUGUGCAAGGAGUGUGAGUGAGGCCUUAACCAGAAGUCCAACCUUAACAGACACAUGAGAACACAUUCAGAAGAGAAGUCUUUUUUUUUUUUUUUGUGAGGAGGAUCAGCCCUGUGCUGACAU